RNAcentral lists this ribosomal RNA (473 nucleotides) under uncultured bacterium. Its description in RNAcentral is "partial 16S ribosomal RNA". It matches the Rfam family "Bacterial small subunit ribosomal RNA", at positions 28 to 507 of the family's 1533-position model. The record is from RNAcentral.
GGUGAACGCUGGCGGCGUGCCUAAGACAUGCAAGUCGAGCGGGCCGCGGGGUUUUACUCCGUGGUCAGCGGCGGACGGGUGAGUAACGCGUGGGUGACCUACCCGGAAGAGGGGGACAACCCGGGGAAACUCGGGCUAAUCCCCCAUGUGGACCCGCCCCUUGGGGUGUGUCCAAAGGGCUUUGCCCGCUUCCGGAUGGGCCCGCGUCCCAUCAGCUAGUUGGUGGGGUAAUGGCCCACCAAGGCGACGACGGGUAGCCGGCCUGAGAGGGUGGCCGGCCACAGGGGCACUGAGACACGGGCACCACUCCUACGGGAGGCAGCAGUUAGGAAUCUUCCGCAAUGGGCGCAAGCCUGACGGAGCGACGCCGCUUGGAGGAAGAAGCCCUUCGGGGUGUAAACUCCUGAACCCGGGACGAAACCCCCGACGAGGGGACUGACGGUACCGGGGUAAUAGCGCCGGCCAACUCCGUG